UCCACUCUCCUCUCUCUGUCUCCGAAACGCACGGACGCUCUCAAUCCGCUGCCGUCCCCCUGCCGCCGCUAGAGUCUGCUGCGAAGCUUGCCGCGACCGCUCCCUCUCCUCCGACCCGGCCAUGGCCCUUCCAGCGCAUCUCGAGCUUGCACUCGGCUCGCAUCACCCAUCAGCAUAGAUCGAGGUCGCCCCUUGCUGUGUCCCCUCCGCUUCUGCCGCUUGAGCUCGCGAGUCGGAGCUCCAUUUGCUUGUGCAGGAGGAGAUCCACCGCUGCUCCAAGGCCUCCUGCUUUCCAUCCUCCUCCUCGUUGCUCACACCAGCAUCCGCUGUUGCGUUGUAUAUCGCCAAGCUUGCUCCAACGCUCCGGUAAGCAGGGAUGUCGUGGGCCCGUGGAACUGGGAUCCUAGAGUCGCCGUGCUCGCGGUGGCUGUCUGCAGGACGCAGGGUGGGGUGGUGCUUAGGAUACAGAAGCCGGUGGAGCGCUUUGUGGGCGGCCGCAUGAUUCUGGAGGUGAUGGCGCUGAUGGAGGGCCUCGACGCCUCCAUGGGGUUGGGCAUCCACAGUGUCACUGCUGUCACUGGUUCCGCCUGCUCUACAACCAUGUGGACAUAAGGGUUACCCCUGGAUCACAUGCAACUGAAGCUGCUGUAAAUAAGGAACUGAACGACAAAGAACGUGUUGCGGCUGCAUUGGAAAACUCAAACCUACUGGACAUGGUUGAAGAGUGCUUAUCAACAACAUUUGAAUGUUGAGGCCUGAAUACUAUAUCUGGGUGUCACAACGAUGA
Sorghum bicolor (sorghum) is the source of this 787-nucleotide long non-coding RNA. RefSeq lists it as uncharacterized. The transcript has 3 exons. Lineage: Eukaryota; Viridiplantae; Streptophyta; Magnoliopsida; Poales; Poaceae. The record is from RefSeq and is a predicted model, not a curated record.